UGAGGAAUAUUGGUCAAUGGGCGCAAGCCUGAACCAGCCAUCCCGCGUGAAGGAAGAAGGCGCUAUGCGUUGUAAACUUCUUUUCCAGGGGGAGAAUUUUUCCGUCGUGACGGGAAUUGACGGUACUCUGGGAAUAAGCAUCGGCUAACUCCGUGCCAGCAGCCGCGGUAAUACGGAGGAUGCGAGCGUUAUCCGGAUUUAUUGGGUUUAAAGGGUGCGUAGGCGGAUAGAUAAGUCAGUGGUGAAAUUCUGCAGCUUAACUGUAGACUUGCCGUUGAUACUGUCAGUCUUGAGUAUGGUCAAGGCAGGCGGAAUGUGUAAUGUAGCGGUGAAAUGCUUAGAUAUUACACAGAACACCGAUUGCGAAGGCAGCUUGCUGGGCCAUUACUGACGCUCAGACGCGAAAGCUAGGGUAGCAAACGG
RNAcentral lists this ribosomal RNA (423 nucleotides) under uncultured bacterium. RNAcentral's name for it is "bacterial SSU rRNA". It matches the Rfam family "Bacterial small subunit ribosomal RNA", at positions 355 to 775 of the family's 1533-position model. The record is from RNAcentral.